RNAcentral lists this ribosomal RNA (164 nucleotides) under Strychnos nux-vomica. RNAcentral's name for it is "5.8S ribosomal RNA". It matches the Rfam family "5.8S ribosomal RNA". Rfam says of the family: 5.8S ribosomal RNA (5.8S rRNA) is a component of the large subunit of the eukaryotic ribosome. It is transcribed by RNA polymerase I as part of the 45S precursor that also contains 18S and 28S rRNA. Functionally, it is thought that 5.8S rRNA may be involved in ribosome translocation. RNAcentral also lists the same sequence under 4 other names. The record is from RNAcentral. Lineage: Eukaryota; Viridiplantae; Streptophyta; Magnoliopsida; Gentianales; Loganiaceae.
AAAACGACUCUCGGCAACGGAUAUCUCGGCUCUCGCAUCGAUGAAGAACGUAGCAAACUGCGAUACUUGGUGUGAAUUGCAGAAUCCCGUGAACCAUCGAGUCUUUGAACGCAAGUUGCGCCCGAAGCCGUUAGGCCGAGGGCACGUCUGCCUGGGCGUCACGC